GUUUCUGUAGUGUAGUGGUCAUCACGUUUGCUUUACACACAAAAGUCCCAGGUUCAAGACCUGGCAGAAACA
This is a non-coding RNA of Fundulus heteroclitus (mummichog), 72 nucleotides long. The record is from the annotation of a RefSeq genome assembly. NCBI's taxonomy places the organism in Eukaryota, Metazoa, Chordata, Actinopteri, Cyprinodontiformes, Fundulidae.